GAUGAACGCUGGCGGCGCGCCUAACACAUGCAAGUCGAACGAUUAAAGCACCUUCGGGUGUGUAUAAAGUGGCGAACGGCUGAGUAACACGUGGGCAACCUGCCCCUUUCAUUGGGAUAGCCACGGGAAACCGUGGAUAAUACCGAAUACUUCGAGACUUCCGCAUGGAAGACUCGAGAAAGCUCCGGCGGAGAGGGAUGGGCCCGCGGCCUGUUAGCUUGUUGGUGGGGUAACGGCCUACCAAGGCAAUGAUGGGUAGCUGGGUUGAGAGACCGACCAGCCAGAUUGGGACUGAGACGCGGCCCAGACUCCUACGGGAGGCAGCAGUGGGGAAUCUUGCACAAUGGGCGAAAGCCUGAUGCAGCAACGCCGCGUGCGGGAUGAAGGCCUUCGGGUUGUAAACCGCUUUCGGCAGGGACGAGGCGAAAGUGACGGUACCUGCAGAAGAAGCCCCGGCUAACUACGUG
RNAcentral lists this ribosomal RNA (467 nucleotides) under uncultured bacterium. RNAcentral's name for it is "partial 16S ribosomal RNA". It matches the Rfam family "Bacterial small subunit ribosomal RNA", at positions 28 to 507 of the family's 1533-position model. The record is from RNAcentral.